CAAAAAGACCCGCCUAGCCACUAGCUCCUAGGCGGGCGCCUAGACGGCCGAUUUUUCGAACACUAAAUUCUAGGUUUAUUUUGCAUAUAGCUCGGGUGUUGUAGCAUUUCUGCACUGGGUUCUAGUAUUCCAUGGAACGAAUCAAGACCAAAGCUUCCAAACAAACCCAUUAGAGUACAUGACCUGAAGUAAGCUGGUGUAGAUGUCGCAUCCAAGUUGUUGUCUCUGAGGUCUGAACUUGCUGAUGCUGGUUCGUAUGUGAUAUUUAUAUCUAUGCUUGAUGAAAUUGCCUGGCUGUUGAACUUGAGAGGCAGUUAUGUGUGCAUAUUGGAUUGUGGAGACUGAUAAAGCUAAGUUAUUUAUAGAUACUUCUAAAGUGAGCGCAGAGGUGAUGGAUCACUUGAAGAAUGCAGGAAUUGAAUUGAGGCCAUAUGAUUCCAUUGUUUCUGAAGUAGAAGGGUAAGUUUGGCCCAAGCAUGGGCUACAAAGAAUCAAAAGUUUCAAUAGUUUUUUUUUUUCUUUUCACAUAAAGAAUAACAAUGAAAACCUCAUCAUCCGAUCAAAGACGGUUUCGACGUGUCAACUACAAUUCAUUAAAAAUGAUGGUUAUUACUUUUUC
This is a long non-coding RNA of Prunus persica (peach), 619 nucleotides long. RefSeq lists it as uncharacterized. The transcript has 2 exons. Lineage: Eukaryota; Viridiplantae; Streptophyta; Magnoliopsida; Rosales; Rosaceae. The record is from RefSeq and is a predicted model, not a curated record.